This 3492-nucleotide small RNA is filed under the name Pan troglodytes (chimpanzee). RNAcentral describes it as "retained intron". The record is from RNAcentral. Lineage: Eukaryota; Metazoa; Chordata; Mammalia; Primates; Hominidae.
GCGGCCGCGGGGCUGCGCGGCGGUGGCGGCGGUGAGUUGAGACGCAGGAGGCGAGGGGCAGCUUUGAGCCCUGUCCCAAGAGCCUCGGUGAAGGAAGGGGCCCCGGGCGCGUCUCCACUCCAAGCCUCACUGGGGGCUGGGUUGGCCGCCCCUUCCGAUCUCGUUAGAGGCUCCUCCAGGGCGUAGCCCUUCCACUGAGAGGAAACCCCUCCCAGGAGGGUCUGGGGGCCCCAGGCAGAGCAUUAUCAGUGUCCCUCCCCCAACAGAAAGCAUGGGUGGGGGUGGGGGCGCUGCCGGAUCCCUGCUCUGGUGGAUGGGAAACUUGUGAGGGGCUGGUAAGCGCCCCCUCCGAAGCCUGGUGUGUGCGCGGGGGAAGGAAGUUAGUUUCCUCUCCACCCAUGGGCACCCCUUCUGCCCGGGGCCUGGGAAGUGGGCUGCUCUGUGGGCAAAUGCUGGGGCCUCUGAAAUGGAGGAGACGCAGCAGGGAGAGGCCCCACGUGGGCAGCUGCGCUGAGAGUCAGCAGCACCUGUCCCCCAGGCGCUCCUCCUGGUGCUGCUGGGGGCCCGGGCCCAGGGCGGCACUCGUAGCCCCAGGUGUGACUGUGCCGGUGACUUCCACAAGAAGAUUGGUCUGUUUUGUUGCAGAGGCUGCCCAGCGGGGCACUACCUGAAGGCCCCUUGCACGGAGCCCUGCGGCAACUCCACCUGCCUUCUGUGUCCCCAAGACACCUUCUUGGCCUGGGAGAACCACCAUAAUUCUGAAUGUGCCCGCUGCCAGGCCUGUGAUGAGCAGGCCUCCCAGGUGGCGCUGGAGAACUGUUCAGCAGUGGCCGACACCCGCUGUGGCUGUAAGCCAGGCUGGUUUGUGGAGUGCCAGGUCAGCCAAUGUGUCAGCAGUUCACCCUUCUACUGCCAACCAUGCCUAGACUGCGGGGCCCUGCACCGCCACACACGGCUACUCUGUGAGUACCCCCACCCAGGGCUCUCUACUCCCAGACCCCCUUCUCCCUGCCUGACCCACUCCUGUCCCAUGGUGACGCAUGCCUCUCCUGGAUUGCAGGUUCCCGCAGAGAUACUGACUGUGGGACCUGCCUGCCUGGCUUCUAUGAACAUGGCGAUGGCUGCGUGUCCUGCCCCACGUAAUUCCUAGCUGUCGUGGGAUGGAGGGAAGGGCGGCUGGGAGCAGGGCAGGGACCUGGGGUGGGGCAGGUGCUGCUGGUUCAGGAAUAGGAAGAGGGGAUAGGGAGGAGGGAGCCUUGGCCCUGUGAUGGGUGGGCCCCACUUCAGGCAAACUUAGAUGGCAAAAGAGCAAUCUGGAUCCGCCUUAGCCAGAUACAUAAGGGUAUUUGCCUUCACUUUCAGCCAGCAUUCCCCCCAGCGAUCCUAGCCAGAUAUUACAGAUGAUUUGUCACUUAUACAGAGAGUCACAUUGAUAUAGCUUUAAAACUUGGGCUGAAGGAGGUUGAGGCUGCAGUGAGCUAUGAUCGUGCCACUGCACUUCAGCCUGGGCAACAGAGCGAGACCUAUUAAAUAAAUAAAUAAAUAUUAAAUCUAUUAAAUAUUAAAUAAAUAUUAAAUCUAUUAAAUAAAUAACUACAAAGGGCUGAGAGUCAGGACUGUGCUGCUAGUUCUCUAGGGGAUCUUGGGCAAGUGCAGAGAAUUCGCGUCUCUGAUGUGUGGUGUCCCUUUCUCAACAAGGGAUGUUAGCAGCUAAUUCACAGGCCUUUGAUCAGAGGUAAGGGACUUUCUGUAGCUAUUCAAGUCUUUUUUUUUUUUUUUUUUUUUGAGAUGGAGACUUGCUCUGUCACCCAGGCUGGAGUGCAGUGGCACGAUCUUGGCUCACUACAACCUCUGCCGCCUGGGUUCAAGUGAUUCUCCUGCCUCAGCCUCCCAAGUAGCUGGGACUACAGGAGCCCACCACCACCCCCGGCUAAUUUUUUGUAUUUUUAGUAGAGACGGGGUUUCACCAUGUUAGCCAAGAUGGUCUUGAUCUCCUGACCUCGUGAUCCACCCGCCUUGGCCUCCCAAAGUGCUGGGAUUACAGGCAUGAGCCACCGCGCCCGGCCUCCAUUCAAGUCUUUAUUGAAUAUCUGCUAUGUUCUACACACUGUUCUAGGUGCUGGGGAUGCAACAGAGGACAAAAUAGGCAAAAUCCCUGUCCUUUUGGGGUUGACAUUCUAGUGACUCUUCAUGUAGUCUAGAAGAAGCUCAGUGAAUAGUGUCUGUGGUUGUUACCAGGGACACAAUGACAGGAACAUUCUUGGGUAGAGUGAGAGGCCUGGGGAGGGAAGGGUCUCUAAGAUGGAGCAGAUGCUGGGCAGUCUUAGGGAGCCCCUCCUGGCAUGCACCCCCUCAUCCCUCAGGCCACCCCCGUCCCUUGCAGGAGCACCCUGGGGAGCUGUCCAGAGCGCUGUGCCGCUGUCUGUGGCUGGAGGCAGAGUAGGUGGUGUGCUGGGAAUGCGAGUGGGAGAACUGGGAUGGGCCGAGGGGAGGCGGGUGAGGAGGGGGGCAACCACCCAACACCCACCAGCUGCUUUCAGUGUUCUGGGUCCAGGUGCUCCUGGCUGGCCUUGUGGUCCCCCUCCUGCUUGGGGCCACCCUGACCUACACAUACCGCCACUGCUGGCCUCACAAGCCCCUGGUUACUGCAGAUGAAGCUGGGAUGGAGGCUCUGACCCCACCACCGGCCACCCAUCUGUCACCCUUGGACAGCGCCCACACCCUUCUAGCACCUCCUGACAGCAGUGAGAAGAUCUGCACCGUCCAGUUGGUGGGUAACAGCUGGACCCCUGGCUACCCCGAGACCCAGGAGGCGCUCUGCCCGCAGGUGACAUGGUCCUGGGACCAGCUGCCCAGCAGAGCUCUUGGCCCCGCUGCUGCGCCCACACUCUCGCCAGAGUCCCCAGCCGGCUCGCCAGCCAUGAUGCUGCAGCCGGGCCCGCAGCUCUACGACGUGAUGGACGCGGUCCCAGCGCGGCGCUGGAAGGAGUUCGUGCGCACGCUGGGGCUGCGCGAGGCAGAGAUCGAAGCCGUGGAGGUGGAGAUCGGCCGCUUCCGAGACCAGCAGUACGAGAUGCUCAAGCGCUGGCGCCAGCAGCAGCCCGCGGGCCUGGGAGCCGUUUACGCGGCCCUGGAGCGCAUGGGGCUGGACGGCUGCGUGGAAGACUUGCGCAGCCGCCUGCAGCGCGGCCCGUGACACGGCGCCCACUUGCCGCCUAGGCGCUCUGGUGGCCCUUGCAGAAGCCCUAAGUACGGUUACUUAUGCGUGUAGACAUUUUAUGUCACUUAUUAAGCCGCUGGCACGGCCCUGCGUAGCAGCACCAGCCGGCCCCACCCCUGCUCGCCCCUAUCGCUCCAGCCAAGGCGAAGAAGCACGAACGAAUGUCGAGAGGGGGUGAAGACAUUUCUCAAUUUCUCGGCCGGAGUUUGGCUGAGAUCGCGGUAUUAAAUCUGUGAAAGAAAAAAACAAAACAAAACAAAACAAAACAAAAA